This 579-nucleotide ribosomal RNA is filed under the name uncultured bacterium. RNAcentral describes it as "bacterial SSU rRNA". It matches the Rfam family "Bacterial small subunit ribosomal RNA", at positions 60 to 652 of the family's 1533-position model. The record is from RNAcentral.
AGUCAACUUGAAUUUGGGUUUUUAACUUAGAUUUGGGUGGCGGACGGGUGAGUAACGCGUAAAGAACUUGCCUCACAGCUAGGGACAACAUUUAGAAAUGAAUGCUAAUACCUGAUAUUAUGAUUUUAAGGCAUCUUAGAAUUAUGAAAGCUAUAAGCACUGUGAGAGAGCUUUGCGUCCCAUUAGCUAGUUGGAGAGGUAACAGCUCACCAAGGCGAUGAUGGGUAGCCGGCCUGAGAGGGUGAACGGCCACAAGGGGACUGAGACACGGCCCUUACUCCUACGGGAGGCAGCAGUGGGGAAUAUUGGACAAUGGACCGAGAGUCUGAUCCAGCAAUUCUGUGUGCACGAUGAAGUUUUUCGGAAUGUAAAGUGCUUUCAGUUGGGAAGAAAGAAAUGACGGUACCAACAGAAGAAGUGACGGCUAAAUACGUGCCAGCAGCCGCGGUAAUACGUAUGUCACGAGCGUUAUCCGGAUUUAUUGGGCGUAAAGCGCGUCUAGGUGGUUAUGUAAGUCUGAUGUGAAAAUGCAGGGCUCAACUCUGUAUUGCGUUGGAAACUGUAUAACUAGAGUACUGG